ACUGCUCUGCUCAGCAGUGCAAGAAGGGCAUCUCACAACUCUGUUAUCAAGGAAAUGUGACUCACCACAAUUUUUUGAGGUUGGAGAAGGGGCAUUGCCAGGCUGGAGCUGUGCCAGCCCCUCACCUGAGCACUGCUUGGAGAUACAGGCAGGAGCCAUGGGGACCUCAACAGAGAGUGGCAGAGCUGUGCACAGAGAAAUCCUGUCUGAAAUGAAUCCCUGAUAAAGAGGAAGCCAAGUUAAAAGAGCUGGAAGAUUUCAGGUUGAGGCAGGAAAUUUGUGUGAGUUGUUAUUACUGCAAUCAGAUGAAGUGAGAAUUGGAUCGGCGGAGGCUGCCAGAGCACAGCUCUCCCAGCAGGACACCGAGGCUCUGCCCAAUCAGGGAGAGCUGCUAACUCAAUCUGCAGGUCCUACCAGCAAUUUUGGACUUGCCUUUGGUGUCCCACCUCUCCCUCCCAGCCCCACCAGCUGCCAGCAGAGAACGGGGAAGCGCGUCGGUACAGGAGGGCGAGGAAUCAGAAAGGACUUGGCGAGAUUGCACAUUUUCUGCCUUGCUGAUGGUAUUUAUUAGACAACAGAAAAUAGCUAUUUUACCAUCUGCCUUGUAAAAAAAAAAAAAUCCUCAUUAAAUUAAUGGAAUGUGCAGCUGCUGAACAGAGUGUUCCUCUUGCGGCCGCCUCCCCAUUAGCCCAGCACUUGCUGGAGCAGGGAAUCGGGCUGCCAAAAGGAGCUGUGGCUAACUCCAGCUCCUGUGGUGGGAGAGGAUGGACAGACAGACAGCUUGCUCCUCCCAGAUCCGAGGUCAUGCCAGGGUACCUACAAAUGCCCUGUGGCUGCAGACAAGGUGUAAGCACUGCCUUGCUCAGGGUG
Long non-coding RNA from Passer domesticus (house sparrow), 870 nucleotides. RefSeq lists it as uncharacterized. The transcript has 4 exons. The record is from RefSeq and is a predicted model, not a curated record. Lineage: Eukaryota; Metazoa; Chordata; Aves; Passeriformes; Passeridae.